Molecule: unclassified non-coding RNA, 346 nt
Filed under: Hevea brasiliensis (rubber tree)
Lineage: Eukaryota; Viridiplantae; Streptophyta; Magnoliopsida; Malpighiales; Euphorbiaceae
Source: RNAcentral
GCGUUACCUCCCAUUUUUAAAUCUCGCUCUCUCUCCAGGGGGCGGCGUAUACAUAUAUAUAUAAUGCUUCUCUUUUUUAGGAAAAGCCAUCAUUUUUCAAUUUCCAUUUUUUUAAACUAAUUUUCAAUUUUUUAAACUAAUUUUCAAGAUAUUCACGAACACGAUUUCGAUUUCUAUCAAAUUCACCACUACCUUUGGUUUCCCAUUCCAUCAUAGUAGGAGAUUCAAGGCCUGUGCUGUGUCUUUGAGAUUCGACCAUGCGAUGGCUAGCCAAUCAGUGCAUGACUUCACCGUUAAGGUUUGGAGAUUCUGGCUUUUCCAUGCAAUCAGUUUGGAUCUCAGGAGC